This 79-nucleotide transfer RNA is filed under the name Chloroflexaceae bacterium. Its description in RNAcentral is "tRNA-Arg". It matches the Rfam family "tRNA". From Rfam's summary of the family: Transfer RNA (tRNA) molecules are approximately 80 nucleotides in length. Their secondary structure includes four short double-helical elements and three loops (D, anti-codon, and T loops). Further hydrogen bonds mediate the characteristic L-shaped molecular structure. tRNAs have two regions of fundamental functional importance: the anti-codon, which is responsible for specific mRNA codon recognition, and the 3' end, to which the tRNAs corresponding amino acid is attached (by aminoacyl-tRNA synthetases). tRNAs cope with the degeneracy of the genetic code in two manners: having more than one tRNA (with a specific anti-codon) for a particular amino acid; and 'wobble' base-pairing, i.e. permitting non-standard base-pairing at the 3rd anti-codon position. The record is from RNAcentral. Lineage: Bacteria; Bacillati; Chloroflexota; Chloroflexia; Chloroflexales; Chloroflexaceae.
UGGCUCGUAGCUCAAUGGAAGGAGAGCAGGUGCCUUCUAAGUCACCCACGUGCGGGUUCGAGUCCCGCCGGGCCAGCCA